UACGUAGGGAGCAAGCGUUGUCCGGAAUCAUUGGGCGUAAAGCGCGCGUAGGUGGCCCCAUAAGUCCGUUGUGAAAGUCAAAGGCUCAACCUUUGAAAGCCGGUGGAUACUGUGGGACUAGAGUACGGAAGAGGCGAGUGGAAUUCCUGGUGUAGCGGUGAAAUGCGCAGAUAUCAGGAGGAACACCAAUGGCGAAGGCAGCUCGCUGGGACGGUACUGACGCUGAGACGCGAAAGCGUGGGGAGCGAACAGG
This 253-nucleotide ribosomal RNA is filed under the name uncultured bacterium. RNAcentral describes it as "partial 16S ribosomal RNA". It matches the Rfam family "Bacterial small subunit ribosomal RNA", at positions 524 to 776 of the family's 1533-position model. The record is from RNAcentral.